RNAcentral lists this transfer RNA (75 nucleotides) under Sporosarcina pasteurii. RNAcentral's name for it is "tRNA-Arg". It matches the Rfam family "tRNA". From Rfam's summary of the family: Transfer RNA (tRNA) molecules are approximately 80 nucleotides in length. The record is from RNAcentral. Lineage: Bacteria; Bacillati; Bacillota; Bacilli; Caryophanales; Caryophanaceae.
GCCCUCGUGGUGUAACGGAUAACACAUAAGAUUCCGGUUCUUACGAUAGGGGUUCGAUUCCUCUCGAGGGCGCUA